AUGAACGCUGGCGGCGUGCCUCAUACCUGCAAGUCGAGCGAACAGACGAGGAGCUUGCUCCUCUGACGUUAGCGGCGGACGGGUGAGUAACCCGUGGAUAACCUACCUAUAAGACUGGGAUAACUUCGGGAAACCGGAGCUAAUACCGGAUAAUAUAUUGAACCGCAUGGUUCCAUAGUGAAAGACGGUUUUGCUGUCACUUAUAGAUGGAUCCGCGCCGCAUUAGCUAGUUGGUAAGGUAACGGCUUACCAAGGCGACGAUGCGUAGCCGACCUGAGAGGGUGAUCGGCCACACUGGAACUGAGACACGGUCCAGACUCCUACGGGAGGCAGCAGUAGGGAAUCUUCCGCAAUGGGCGAAAGCCUGACGGAGCAACGCCGCGUGAGUGAUGAAGGUCUUCGGAUCGUAAAACUCUGUUAUUAGGGAAGAACAAAUGUGUAAGUAACUAUGCACGUCUUGACGGUACCUAAUCAGAAAGCCACGGCUAACUACGUG
Molecule: ribosomal RNA, 496 nt
Filed under: uncultured bacterium
Lineage: Bacteria
Description: partial 16S ribosomal RNA
Rfam family: Bacterial small subunit ribosomal RNA
Source: RNAcentral